Quercus robur (English oak) is the source of this 215-nucleotide long non-coding RNA. RefSeq lists it as uncharacterized. Lineage: Eukaryota; Viridiplantae; Streptophyta; Magnoliopsida; Fagales; Fagaceae. The transcript is spliced from 3 exons. The record is from RefSeq and is a predicted model, not a curated record.
AUAAACUUGGGUUGUUAUUACAUUUUCGGGCUUCCACUUGGAUACCUUCUUGGUUAUAAAGCAAAUUUAGGAGUGAUGGGACUUUGGGUGGGCAUGAUAAGUGGAACUGCUCUACAAACUUUGCUUCUCUUGAUUGUACUCUAUAAAACCAACUGGAACAAGGAGGUGGAACAAACAACUGAAUGCAUGUGGAAGUGGGGUGGCCAAGACAUCAA